GGAAUAUUGGACAAUGGGCGAAAGCCUGAUCCAGCCAUGCCGCGUGUGUGAAGAAGGUCUUCGGAUUGUAAAGCACUUUAAGUUGGGAGGCAGGGUAGUAACUUAAUACGUUGCUAUUUUGACGUUACCGACAGAAUAAGCACCGGCUAACUCCGUGCCAGCAGCCGCGGUAAGACGGAGGGUGCUAGCGUUGUUCGGAAUCACUGGGCGUAAAGGGCGCGUAGGCGGCCUUUGGUGUCGGAUGGGAAAGCCCGGGGCUCAACUCCGGAGGUGCAUCCGAAACUCGAAGGCUGGAGGCCGGAAGAGGAGGGUGGAAUACCCAGUGUAGAGGUGAAAUUCGUAGAUAUCGGGUGGAACACCGGUGGCGAAAGCGGCUCUCUGGUCCGGUCCUGACGCUGAGGCGCGAAAGCGUGGGGAGCAAAC
Molecule: ribosomal RNA, 423 nt
Filed under: uncultured bacterium
Lineage: Bacteria
Description: bacterial SSU rRNA
Rfam family: Bacterial small subunit ribosomal RNA
Source: RNAcentral